GAUGAACGCCGGCGGUGUGCCUAAUACAUGCAAGUCGUACGCACUGGCCCAACUGAUUGAUGGUGCUUGCACCUGAUUGAUGAUGGAUCACCAGUGAGUGGCGGACGGGUGAGUAACACGUAGGUAACCUGCCCCGGAGCGGGGGAUAACAUUUGGAAACAGAUGCUAAUACCGCAUAACAAUAAAAGCCGCAUGGCUUUAUUUGAAAGAUGGCUUUGGCUAUCACUCUGGGAUGGACCUGCGGUGCAUUAGCUAGUUGGUAAGGUAACGGCUUACCAAGGCGAUGAUGCAUAGCCGAGUUGAGAGACUGAUCGGCCACAAUGGAACUGAGACACGGUCCAU
This 342-nucleotide ribosomal RNA is filed under the name uncultured bacterium. Its description in RNAcentral is "bacterial SSU rRNA". It matches the Rfam family "Bacterial small subunit ribosomal RNA", at positions 28 to 334 of the family's 1533-position model. The record is from RNAcentral.